This 69-nucleotide transfer RNA is filed under the name Cephalopina titillator. RNAcentral describes it as "tRNA-Tyr". It matches the Rfam family "tRNA". From Rfam's summary of the family: Transfer RNA (tRNA) molecules are approximately 80 nucleotides in length. The record is from RNAcentral. Lineage: Eukaryota; Metazoa; Arthropoda; Insecta; Diptera; Oestridae.
GAUUAAAUGGCUGAGGAUAGGCAAUAGACUGUAAAUCUAUUUAUGAAGGUGAGUAGCUUUCUUUAAUCA